AGUGAACGCUGGCGGCAGGCUUUACACAUGCAAGUCGAACGGCAGCGCAGUCUUCGCCCGGUCUUCGGGGUGCGGAGUGGUGGGUAGUUCAGCGAAACGUCCCCAUUUAUUUUUUAGAGCCCGGCAACAUCCGGAUUAUUACCCCAAUCCACCUGACGGUGUAAGCGGGGAACCGAAAGACCUCCCGCCCUUGCACCGUCCGAUGUCGGAUUAGCUAGUUGGUGGGGUAAAGGCUUACCAAGGCGACGAUCCGUAGCUGGUCUGAGAGGAUGAUCAGCCACACUGGGACUGAGACACGGCCCAGACUCCUACGGGAGGCAGCAGUGGGGAAUUUUGGACAAUGGGGGCAAGCCUGAUCCAGCCAUGCCGCGUGAGGGAAGAAGGCCUUCGGGUUGUAAAGCGCUUUUGUUGGGGAAGAAAUCCUGUGGGUUAAUACCCCGGGGGGCUGACGGUACCGGAAGAAUAAGCACCGGCUAACUACGUG
This 484-nucleotide ribosomal RNA is filed under the name uncultured bacterium. Its description in RNAcentral is "partial 16S ribosomal RNA". It matches the Rfam family "Bacterial small subunit ribosomal RNA", at positions 29 to 507 of the family's 1533-position model. The record is from RNAcentral.